UACGUAGGGGGAAAGCGUUGUCCGGAUUUAUUGGGCGUAAAGAGCGUGUAGGCGGCUAGGUAGGUCCGUUGUGGAAACUCGAGGCUCAACCUCGAGACGCCGAUGGAAACCAUCUAGCUAGAGUCCGGAAGAGGAGAGUGGAAUUCCUGGUGUAGCGGUGAAAUGCGCAGAUAUCAGGAAGAACACCCGUGGCUAAGGCGGCUCUCUAGUACGGUACUGACGCUGAGACGCGAAAGCGUGGGGAGCAAACAGG
Molecule: ribosomal RNA, 253 nt
Filed under: uncultured bacterium
Lineage: Bacteria
Description: partial 16S ribosomal RNA
Rfam family: Bacterial small subunit ribosomal RNA
Source: RNAcentral